This 238-nucleotide unclassified non-coding RNA is filed under the name Ascomycota sp. RNAcentral's name for it is "partial contains small subunit ribosomal RNA, internal transcribed spacer 1, and 5.8S ribosomal RNA". The stretch from base 1 to 47 matches the Rfam family "Eukaryotic small subunit ribosomal RNA", at positions 1785 to 1831 of the family's 1831-position model. The record is from RNAcentral. Lineage: Eukaryota; Fungi; Ascomycota.
AAAGUCGUAACAAGGUCUCCGUUGGUGAACCAGCGGAGGGAUCAUUACUGAGUUUACAACUCCCAAACCCUAUGUGAACAUACCUAUUGUUGCUUCGGCGGGAUCGCCCCGGCUGCCCAGAGCGCCGGAACCAGGCCCCCGCCGCAAGACCCAAAACUCUGUUUUUUAUAGUAUUCUUCUGAGUGGCUUCUAAAGCAAAAAUAAAUUAAAACUUUCAACAACGGAUCUCUUGGUUCUG